Long non-coding RNA from Manihot esculenta (cassava), 665 nucleotides. RefSeq lists it as uncharacterized. The transcript has 4 exons. The record is from RefSeq and is a predicted model, not a curated record. Lineage: Eukaryota; Viridiplantae; Streptophyta; Magnoliopsida; Malpighiales; Euphorbiaceae.
UUGCGUGUAUUUUUGGUUGCGCACUUUCAUCCAGCAGUUGUGCGUGUGACACUUCAAUGGACAAAGCUACCUACAAGCUUUACUCUCGUGCGUCGUGCCCUUUUGGCCUCUCACUUUCUUAGUUGCUUUGUCCAGUAAGCCCACAUUAUAGAGGGUACAAAAUCCAUAGUGCAGAUGGAUCAAACCAGGAUUCUCUUGUAUGGCUCCAGCUUGGUUUGACAUUGAUAGAACUGGUUCAUUUAUAUGUGGAUGGAAAUUGUAAACAUUGUAGUAAUGGUGGUGCUACAAUAGCAAAUAUGAUAGGGGCGAAAGAAGCAGCAAUUGCGUGUGCUAGGGCUGAUCAAACUCUUUUUAGUGGGUUGAGCUAUCACACCUGGCCAUCACAGCGGUCAGGCUCCCAUACCUCUCUCUUUAAUUACCUUUAAAGGAACUCACCAGAUAUUCAUCUUGGGAAGCAAUUGAUGUUGAUGGGUAACUGGCAAUUCAAUACUACAUAAAAGUUCUCUUUUUUGCUGCUAACUAGGCGCUAGGUCCUAGGCAUUUACUCAGUCUCACAUUCAAUGAUCCCUGCCACCAAAGAAGACUGGUCAGCAGCCAAUAGAAGAGGAGAUGAGAUUUUUCUUUCUUUCUUUUCUUUCUUUUUAACUAUUACUACUCUUGCUACU